RNAcentral lists this ribosomal RNA (460 nucleotides) under uncultured bacterium. RNAcentral's name for it is "partial 16S ribosomal RNA". It matches the Rfam family "Bacterial small subunit ribosomal RNA", at positions 338 to 795 of the family's 1533-position model. The record is from RNAcentral.
CCUACGGGUGGCAGCAGUGAGGAAUAUUGGUCAAUGGGCGGAAGCCUGAACCAGCCAAGUAGCGUGCAGGAUGACGGCCCUACGGGUUGUAAACUGCUUUUAUACGGGAAUAACGCGCCUUACGUGUAGGGCUUUGCAUGUACCGUAUGAAUAAGGACCGGCUAAUUCCGUGCCAGCAGCCGCGGUAAUACGGAAGGUCCGGGCGUUAUCCGGCUUUAUUGGGUUUAAAGGGAGCGUAGGCGGGAGGUCAAGGGUGCUGUGAAAGGUUCGGGCUCAACCCGGGCCUUGCAGUGCGUACUGGCGUGCGUGAGUCCGCGGAAGGCAGGCGGAAUUCGUCGUGUAGCGGUGAAAUGCUUAGAUAUGACGAAGAACCCCGAUUGCGAAGGCAGCUUGCUGCAGCGGAACUGACGCUGAUGCUCGAAAGCGCGGGUAUCGAACAGGAUUAGAUACCCGAGUAGUC